UUUUGACAGAUGAGAAAACAGAGGCACAACAUGCUUCAGUAGUCCUGCUCAUCAUCGGAUCCAUCUGACCGUGUAACAGUGGUAUCCCGGUGACUAGAGAAAUAUUUAAUGAAGUGCUCAUUGAUAGGACAUUUGUAAAACCCCAAGUUUUGGUGGUGAUGCUAAAAAAUUCUUUCUUGGUCUAGACCUAUGCUAUGGGGCAGGUGGGGCAGAUAUGUGCCAUUCUUAUAAGGCCCCUCCCAUAUGCCUGGCACCAGUAAAUUAACUUCCUAAGCUAACUCAUGGCUUCUUGAAUUCACUCCUCAGGAAAUAGAAGCCAUAGCAAAGAGAGCACACUUUUCUGGGAGGAGGACAGUGUUUCCUGUUUUGCUUAUCUCAUGGGACUGAUGUGGGGAACAGGUGAGCUCAUCCGGGAGUAUACUAGACAAAUGGGAAAAAAUGGACAUACCCGGCAUUUGGAACCUUCACACAUCUACCACUUUCAUCCUUGGUGUCAGGUUCGGCCUGACUGGCUCAG
RNAcentral lists this long non-coding RNA (517 nucleotides) under Sus scrofa (pig). Its description in RNAcentral is "lncRNA (ENSSSCG00070026876.1)". The record is from RNAcentral. Lineage: Eukaryota; Metazoa; Chordata; Mammalia; Artiodactyla; Suidae.